CCUACGGGAGGCAGCAGUGAGGAAUAUUGGUCAAUGGGCGCGAGCCUGAACCAGCCAAGUCGCGUGAAGGAUGACUGCCCUACGGGUUGUAAACUUCUUUUAUAAAGGAAUAAAGUGAGGCACGUGUGCCUUUUUGUAUGUACCUUAUGAAUAAGGAUCGGCUAACUACGUGCCAGCAGCCGCGGUAAUACGGAGGAUCCGAGCGUUAUCCGGAUUUAUUGGGUUUAAAGGGAGCGGAGAUGGGUUGUUAAGUCAGUUGUGAAAGUUUGCGGGUCAACCGUAAAAUUGCAAUUGAUACUGGCGGUCUUGAGUACAGGUGAGGUAGGCGGAAUUCGUGGUGUAGCGGUGAAAUGCUUAGAUAUCACGAAGAACUCCGAUUGCGAAGGCAGCUUACUAAACUGCCACUGACAUUGAUGCUCGAAAGUGUGGGUAUCAAACAGGAUUAGAUACCCUUGUAGUC
This 460-nucleotide ribosomal RNA is filed under the name uncultured bacterium. RNAcentral describes it as "partial 16S ribosomal RNA". It matches the Rfam family "Bacterial small subunit ribosomal RNA", at positions 338 to 795 of the family's 1533-position model. The record is from RNAcentral.